GUUUGAUCAUGGCUCACGAUGAACGCUAGCGGCAGGCCUAACACAUGCAAGUCCAGGGGCAGCAUGAACAAUAGCAAUAUUGUUUGAUGGCGACCGGCGCACGGGUGCGUAACACGUAUGCAAUCUGCCUUAUACUGGGGCAUAACCUCCAGAAAUCGAAGCUAAUUCCCCAUAACACCAUGAAGUGGCAUCAUUUUAUGGUUAAAGCUCCGGCGGUAUAAGAUGAGCAUGCGCCCAAUUAGCUUGUUGGUGAGGUAAAAGCUCACCAAGGCAUCGAUUGGUAGGGGGUCUGAGAGGAUGAUCCCCCACACUGGUACUGAGACACGGACCAGACUCCUACGGGAGGCAGCAGUGAGGAAUAUUGCGCAAUGGAGGCAACUCUGACGCAGCCAUGCCGCGUGAAGGAUUGAAUGCCCUAUGGGUUGUAAACUUCUUUUAUACGGGAAAAAAACCUUGAUCGUGAUCGAGGCUGAUGGUACCGUAAGAAUAAGCACCGGCUAACUCCGUGCCAGCAGCCGCGGUAC
Molecule: ribosomal RNA, 524 nt
Filed under: uncultured Bacteroidota bacterium
Lineage: Bacteria; Pseudomonadati; Bacteroidota
Description: bacterial SSU rRNA
Rfam family: Bacterial small subunit ribosomal RNA
Source: RNAcentral